RNAcentral lists this non-coding RNA (24 nucleotides) under Arabidopsis thaliana (thale cress). Lineage: Eukaryota; Viridiplantae; Streptophyta; Magnoliopsida; Brassicales; Brassicaceae. The record is from RNAcentral.
UGGGUCCUUGUUAAUUAUCAUCAC